RNAcentral lists this ribosomal RNA (1233 nucleotides) under Escherichia coli. RNAcentral's name for it is "partial 23S ribosomal RNA". It matches the Rfam family "Bacterial large subunit ribosomal RNA", at positions 418 to 1653 of the family's 2925-position model. Lineage: Bacteria; Pseudomonadati; Pseudomonadota; Gammaproteobacteria; Enterobacterales; Enterobacteriaceae. The record is from RNAcentral.
CGGGACACGUGGUAUCCUGUCUGAAUAUGGGGGGACCAUCCUCCAAGGCUAAAUACUCCUGACUGACCGAUAGUGAACCAGUACCGUGAGGGAAAGGCGAAAAGAACCCCGGCGAGGGGAGUGAAAAAGAACCUGAAACCGUGUACGUACAAGCAGUGGGAGCACGCUUAGGCGUGUGACUGCGUACCUUUUGUAUAAUGGGUCAGCGACUUAUAUUCUGUAGCAAGGUUAACCGAAUAGGGGAGCCGAAGGGAAACCGAGUCUUAACUGGGCGUUAAGUUGCAGGGUAUAGACCCGAAACCCGGUGAUCUAGCCAUGGGCAGGUUGAAGGUUGGGUAACACUAACUGGAGGACCGAACCGACUAAUGUUGAAAAAUUAGCGGAUGACUUGUGGCUGGGGGUGAAAGGCCAAUCAAACCGGGAGAUAGCUGGUUCUCCCCGAAAGCUAUUUAGGUAGCGCCUCGUGAAUUCAUCUCCGGGGGUAGAGCACUGUUUCGGCAAGGGGGUCAUCCCGACUUACCAACCCGAUGCAAACUGCGAAUACCGGAGAAUGUUAUCACGGGAGACACACGGCGGGUGCUAACGUCCGUCGUGAAGAGGGAAACAACCCAGACCGCCAGCUAAGGUCCCAAAGUCAUGGUUAAGUGGGAAACGAUGUGGGAAGGCCCAGACAGCCAGGAUGUUGGCUUAGAAGCAGCCAUCAUUUAAAGAAAGCGUAAUAGCUCACUGGUCGAGUCGGCCUGCGCGGAAGAUGUAACGGGGCUAAACCAUGCACCGAAGCUGCGGCAGCGACGCUGAUGCGUUGUUGGGUAGGGGAGCGUUCUGUAAGCCUGUGAAGGUGUGCUGUGAGGCAUGCUGGAGGUAUCAGAAGUGCGAAUGCUGACAUAAGUAACGAUAAAGCGGGUGAAAAGCCCGCUCGCCGGAAGACCAAGGGUUCCUGUCCAACGUUAAUCGGGGCAGGGUGAGUCGACCCCUAAGGCGAGGCCGAAAGGCGUAGUCGAUGGGAAACAGGUUAAUAUUCCUGUACUUGGUGUUACUGCGAAGGGGGGACGGAGAAGGCUAUGUUGGCCGGGCGACGGUUGUCCCGGUUUAAGCGUGUAGGCUGGUUUUCCAGGCAAAUCCGGAAAAUCAAGGCUGAGGCGUGAUGACGAGGCACUACGGUGCUGAAGCAACAAAUGCCCUGCUUCCAGGAAAAGCCUCUAAGCAUCAGGUAACAUCAAAUCGUACCCCAAA